ACUCGUAGGUGGCGCGGCCGUGAUCGCCGUUGGUGCCGGCGAUCGAGCGAAUGAUCGAGCAGUGGUGCAUCUGCUUCGCGAGUU
Molecule: transfer RNA, 84 nt
Filed under: Verrucomicrobiota bacterium
Lineage: Bacteria; Pseudomonadati; Verrucomicrobiota
Description: tRNA-Thr
Source: RNAcentral